This 253-nucleotide ribosomal RNA is filed under the name uncultured bacterium. RNAcentral's name for it is "partial 16S ribosomal RNA". It matches the Rfam family "Bacterial small subunit ribosomal RNA", at positions 524 to 776 of the family's 1533-position model. The record is from RNAcentral.
UACGUAGGGGGCAAGCGUUGUCCGGAAUCAUUGGGCGUAAAGAGCGUGUAGGCGGCUCGAUAAGUCUGCUGUGAAAGUCCAGGGCUCAACCCUGGAAGGCCGGUGGAAACUGUCGGGCUAGAGUCCGGAAGAGGCGAGUGGAAUUCCCGGUGUAGCGGUGAAAUGCGCAGAUAUCAGGAGGAACACCGGUGGCGAAGGCGGGUCUCUGGGCCGAUACUGACGCUGAGGAGCGAAAGCGUGGGGAGCAAACAGG